GCAAAUGCGACUUAUCACGGCUGC
Molecule: non-coding RNA, 24 nt
Filed under: Arabidopsis thaliana (thale cress)
Lineage: Eukaryota; Viridiplantae; Streptophyta; Magnoliopsida; Brassicales; Brassicaceae
Source: RNAcentral